GCCUCCGUAGCUUAGUGGUGGAGCAUGCGGCUGUUAACCGCAAGGUCCCCGGUUCGAACAAGGAAUCAGAGGCU
Molecule: transfer RNA, 74 nt
Filed under: Candidatus Woesearchaeota archaeon
Lineage: Archaea; Nanobdellati; Candidatus Woesearchaeota
Description: tRNA-Asn
Rfam family: tRNA
About the family: Transfer RNA (tRNA) molecules are approximately 80 nucleotides in length. Their secondary structure includes four short double-helical elements and three loops (D, anti-codon, and T loops).
Source: RNAcentral